RNAcentral lists this ribosomal RNA (788 nucleotides) under uncultured bacterium. RNAcentral's name for it is "bacterial SSU rRNA". It matches the Rfam family "Bacterial small subunit ribosomal RNA", at positions 8 to 796 of the family's 1533-position model. The record is from RNAcentral.
AGAGUUUGAUCCUGGCUCAGGACGAACGCUGGCGGCGUGCUUAACACAUGCAAGUGGAGCGACGAACCUGACUUCGGUCAGGGGCAGAGCCGCGAACGGGUGAGUAACACGUGGGUUACCUGCCCCGUUGACAGGGACAACCCGGGGAAACCCGGGCUAAUACCUGAUGUGCCCCUUGGGGGAAAGGAAGCUUCGGCCUCCGCAACGGGAUGGGCCCGCGGUGCAUUAGCUUGUUGGUUGGGUAACGGCCUACCAAGGCGACGAUGCAUAGCUGGUCUGAGAGGACGAUCAGCCACACUGGGACUGAGACACGGCCCAGACUCCUACGGGAGGCAGCAGUGGGGAAUCUUGCGCAAUGCGCGAAAGCGUGACGCAGCAACGCCGCGUGGAGGAAGACGGCCUUCGGGUUGUAAACUCCUUUCAGUUGGGACGAAGGGUACUAGGUGAAUAGCCUGUGUAUUUGACGGUACCUUCAGAAGAAGCCCCGGCUAACUACGUGCCAGCAGCCGCGGUAAUACGUAGGGGGCAAGCGUUGUCCGGAAUCAUUGGGCGUAAAGCGCGUGUAGGCGGCCUUGUAAGUCCGUUCUGAAAGUCCGGGGCUCAACCCCGGGAGGCGGAUGGAUACUGCAAGGCUCGAGUACGGAAGAGGCGAGUGGAAUUCCCGGUGUAGCGGUGAAAUGCGCAGAUAUCGGGAGGAACACCAAUGGCGAAGGCAGCUCGCUGGGACGUUACUGACGCUGAGACGCGAAAGCGUGGGGAGCAAACAGGAUUAGAUACCCUAGUAGUCC